This 490-nucleotide ribosomal RNA is filed under the name uncultured bacterium. RNAcentral's name for it is "partial 16S ribosomal RNA". It matches the Rfam family "Bacterial small subunit ribosomal RNA", at positions 30 to 507 of the family's 1533-position model. The record is from RNAcentral.
AUUGAACGCUGGCGGCAGGCCUAACACAUGCAAGUCGAACGGUAACAGGAAGCAGCUUGCUGCUUCGCUGACGAGUGGCGGACGGGUGAGUAAUGUCUGGGAAGCUGCCUGAUGGAGGGGGAUAACUACUGGAAACGGUAGCUAAUACCGCAUAAUGUCGCAAGACCAAAGAGGGGGACCUUCGGGCCUCUUGCCAUCGGAUGUGCCCAGAUGGGAUUAGCUUGUUGGUGGGGUAACGGCGCACCAAGGCGACGAUCCCUAGCUGGUCUGAGAGGAUGACCAGCCACACUGGAACUGAGACACGGUCCAGACUCCUACGGGAGGCAGCAGUGGGGAAUAUUGCACAAUGGGCGCAAGCCUGAUGCAGCCAUGCCGCGUGUAUGAAGAAGGCCGUCGGGUUGUAAAGUACUUUCAGCGGGGAGGAAGGGAGUAAAGUUAAUACCUUUGCUCAUUGACGUUACCCGCAGAAGAAGCACCGGCUAACUCCGUG